CUACGGGGUGCAGCAGUGGGGAAUAUUGCACAAUGGGCGCAAGCCUGAUGCAGCCAUGCCGCGUGUAUGAAGAAGGCCUUCGGGUUGUAAAGUACUUUCAGCGGGGAGGAAGGGAGUAAAGUUAAUACCUUUGCUCAUUGACGUUACCCGCAGAAGAAGCGCCGGCUAACUCCGUGCCAGCAGCCGCGGUAAUACGGAGGGUGCAAGCGUUAAUCGGAAUUACUGGGCGUAAAGCGCACGCAGGCGGUUUGUUAAGUCAGAUGGGAAAUCCCCGGGCUCAACCUGGGAACUGCAUCUGAUACUGGCAAGCUUGAGUCUCGUAGAGGGGGGUAGAAUUCCAGGUGUAGCGGUGAAAUGCGUAGAGAUCUGGAGGAAUACCGGUGGCGAAGGCGGCCCCCUGGACGAAGACUGACGCUCAGGUGCGAAAGCGUGGGGAGCAAACAGGAUUAGAUACCCCAGUAGUC
RNAcentral lists this ribosomal RNA (464 nucleotides) under uncultured bacterium. RNAcentral's name for it is "partial 16S ribosomal RNA". It matches the Rfam family "Bacterial small subunit ribosomal RNA", at positions 339 to 795 of the family's 1533-position model. The record is from RNAcentral.